AAUAGAUACCCGGGUAGUCCACGCCGUAAACGAUGAGUGCUAAGUGUUAGGGGGUUUCCGCCCUUAGUGCUGCAGCUAACGCAUUAAGCACUCCGCCUGGGGAGUACGGUCGCAAGACUGAAACUCAAAGGAAUUGACGGGGGCCCGCACAAGCGGUGGAGCAUGUGGUUUAAUUCGAAGCAACGCGAAGAACCUUACCAGGUCUUGACAUCCCAUUGACCACUAUGGAGACAUAGUUUUCCCUUCGGGGACAACGGUGACAGGUGGUGCAUGGUUGUCGUCAGCUCGUGUCGUGAGAUGUUGGGUUAAGUCCCGCAACGAGCGCAACCCUUGUUCUUAGUUGCCAUCAUUUAGCUGGGCACUCUAAGGAGACUGCCGGUGACAAACCGGAGGAAGGUGGGGAUGACGUCAAAUCAUCAUGCCCCUUAUGACCUGGGCUACACACGUGCUACAAUGGACGGUACAAACGGUUGCCAACCCGUGAGGGGGAGCUAAUCCGAUAAAACCGUUCUCAGUUCGGAUUGUAGGCUGCAACUCGCCUACAUGAAC
RNAcentral lists this ribosomal RNA (549 nucleotides) under uncultured bacterium. RNAcentral's name for it is "bacterial SSU rRNA". It matches the Rfam family "Bacterial small subunit ribosomal RNA", at positions 777 to 1325 of the family's 1533-position model. The record is from RNAcentral.